This 66-nucleotide transfer RNA is filed under the name Argonauta argo. RNAcentral describes it as "tRNA-Pro". The record is from RNAcentral. Lineage: Eukaryota; Metazoa; Mollusca; Cephalopoda; Octopoda; Argonautidae.
CAGAAAGUAGUUUAUUAAAAUAAUAACAUUGGAAGUUAUAGAUUAAAUAUAUUAUUUACUUUUUGA